RNAcentral lists this long non-coding RNA (1001 nucleotides) under Agrilus planipennis (emerald ash borer). RNAcentral describes it as "uncharacterized LOC108741555, transcript variant X3". Lineage: Eukaryota; Metazoa; Arthropoda; Insecta; Coleoptera; Buprestidae. The record is from RNAcentral.
AAUUGUUGAUUAUUUUCUUAAUGAAUUAUUUAAUACCAAACAAGUACACAAUUUGUGAUAAAUAAUAUACGUAAAAGUAGAAUAUUAUUCUCUAAAAUUUGAAUCAAAUAUUUUAAGCAUAUUACUUAUAUAACAAAAAUACACCUAUGCUUUGAGGGUUGUAUACGUUCAUGGUCAAAAUGUAAUAGUGAAAUUGUUUUUGAAGUAGUUUCUCGCGUUUUUUUCUUUCUUAAGGGUAAUGAUCAAAUAACCCCCUACGUCUGGAAAUGUUUAUUGUUCGGGAGUGCAAUUUGUGUCUAUAGUCUUGGUCCAUGGUCCCCAAAUUUCACCGUAAAAAUAAGAGUGCCUAAUAAGCAGUUUUACGAAGGGAUAUAUUUCGACUGCAAACUUCUUGGGCAGAUAAGCAGUUCACUACACAUUAAGGAGAUUGCUUCGAGAAGACGGUGUGCUGCCAUUUUUGCUGUCCAUAAAUGGGAACGAUGUCUGAAGACUUGAGAUGACAUCCUUGGAUUCGAUGCACAAACUACUUACAGAUGUGAUGUUUGAGGUAGUCAGACAAAAAUUCUUAGAACCUAGGAUGUUAACAAUGGUGGAGAGGGUAAAUCAAAAAGGAAGCGUGGAGAAGAAAGGCCUCCAAAAAAUGCUUGUUUCGCGUGGUUAUGGAAAAGGGGUCGUUUCUGGAAAUAAUCGUCUAAUGAAUGAGAGAGAAUUGAAGUUCAAGUUGAUUGAACUGAAACAAUAUCUACAAUGGUGUUACUUUUGGUGGACUACAUUCUUGAUUUGCUGUUUUCGUCUUCACCUUACAACAUUAUGCUGUUAAUUUUCAACACAUGAAUGACUGCAAAAGGAGAUUUAUUUGAAUUCCACUGAAACAAAUUUUGUUUUGUUAUGGUAUUCCUUCUGGAUUUCGUUUGCUUUUCACACAUGCAAACUUGGGAAUGGUAGAGUCUACAGUUUAUUAAGAUCGACGUUGGAGAAGACAGAGAUGACCCCAUAGUUAA